GGAGUCUAGCAUGUGCGCGAGUCAUUGGGACAUAACUAAACCUAAAGGCGCAAUGAAAGUGAAGGUCCGCCUCGCGCGGAUCGAGGGAAGAUGGGCGGUUUUCCGAAAAGUGGCCGCCCCGCAUUCCCGGGGCGUCUCGUUCUCAUCGCGAGAAGAGGCGCACCAAGAGCGUACACGCUGGGACCCGAAAGAUGGUGAACUAUGCCUGGUCAGGACGAAGUCAGGGGAAACCCUGAUGGAGGUCCGUAGCGAUUCUGACGUGCAAAUCGAUCGUCGGAACUGGGUAUAGGGGCGAAAGACUAAUCGAACCAUCUAGUAGCUGGUUCCCUCCGAAGUUUCCCUCAGGAUAGCUGGCGCUCGUCGCGCACGAGUCUCAUCCGGUAAAGCGAAUGAUUAGAGGCAUUGGGGUCGAAACGGCCUCAACCUAUUCUCAAACUUUAAAUGGGUGAGAUCUCCGGCUUGCUCGAACUACUGAAGCCGCGAGACACGGAUCAGAGUGCCAAGUGGGCCAUUUUUGGUAAGCAGAACUGGCGCUGUGGGAUGAACCAAACGCCGAGUUAAAGCGCCUAAAUCGACGCUUAUGGGACACCAUGAAAGGCGUUGGUAACUUAAGACAGCAGGACGGUGGCCAUGGAAGUC
RNAcentral lists this ribosomal RNA (639 nucleotides) under Amecomycter sp. 1188. Its description in RNAcentral is "eukaryotic LSU rRNA". It matches the Rfam family "Eukaryotic large subunit ribosomal RNA", at positions 670 to 1262 of the family's 3401-position model. The record is from RNAcentral. Lineage: Eukaryota; Metazoa; Arthropoda; Insecta; Coleoptera; Mauroniscidae.